ACGUUACGGACGCAAUUUCUACAAGGAGGCAUAGGCUGGAAAGUGCCAAAAAACAGAAGCGCAAGUGCUGGGUGCGACCGAUAUUUCAGCUGGAAAGAAGACGAUUGCAAGGAGCAAGCGACAACUUGGUACUAGAAAUGCAAUUGAA
Molecule: long non-coding RNA, 148 nt
Organism: Linepithema humile (Argentine ant)
Lineage: Eukaryota; Metazoa; Arthropoda; Insecta; Hymenoptera; Formicidae
Source: RefSeq, a predicted model, not a curated record